Molecule: small nucleolar RNA, 134 nt
Organism: Ipomoea nil (Japanese morning glory)
Lineage: Eukaryota; Viridiplantae; Streptophyta; Magnoliopsida; Solanales; Convolvulaceae
Rfam family: Small nucleolar RNA snoR136
Source: Rfam
AUGGCUUUGAAUCUGUUGUUUUCACAGUUCGUGCUUCGUUGUAUAGUGCAGAGCUGCGUUGAUCAAAGCUAGAUGAUGUUCCCCUCGCUAUCCAGAGCUUUUGUUGAGCUUUUGGACGUCGGGGAACCACAUUA